ACUCCUACGGGAGGCAGCAGUGAGGAAUAUUGGACAAUGGGCGCAAGCCUGAUCCAGCCAUGCCGCGUGCAGGAAGACUGCCCUAUGGGUUGUAAACUGCUUUUGUACGGGAAGAAACACCCCCUCGUGAGGGGCUUGACGGUACCGUAAGAAUAAGGAUCGGCUAACUCCGUGCCAGCAGCCGCGGUAAUACGGAGGAUCCGAGCGUUAUCCGGAAUCAUUGGGUUUAAAGGUCCGUAGGUGGAUUGGUAAGUCAGAGGUGAAAGCCUGCAGCUCAACUGUAGAACUGCCUUUGAUACUGCUAGUCUUGAGUCGUUGUGAAGUGGUUAGAAUAUGUAGUGUAGCGGUGAAAUGCAUAGAUAUUACAUAGAAUACCAAUUGCGAAGGCAGAUCACUAACAACGUACUGACACUGAUGGACGAAAGCGU
RNAcentral lists this ribosomal RNA (428 nucleotides) under uncultured bacterium. RNAcentral's name for it is "bacterial SSU rRNA". It matches the Rfam family "Bacterial small subunit ribosomal RNA", at positions 335 to 762 of the family's 1533-position model. The record is from RNAcentral.